AACAAGCAAACCGUGGAUUCCCGUGUUAACGUUUAAUUGUCCGUCUUAUAUGAUUUUUUUUAUAAUUAGUAUUUUCAUUGUUGUUAGAUGAUAAAACAUGAUUAAUAUUUUAUGCAUGACUUAUCUUUUUAAUUUUUUAUAACUUUUUUAAAUAAGACGAACAGUCAAACAUUGGAAACGGAAAUCAAGGUUUGUCUUUUU
Molecule: microRNA precursor, 201 nt
Filed under: Oryza sativa Japonica Group (Japanese rice)
Lineage: Eukaryota; Viridiplantae; Streptophyta; Magnoliopsida; Poales; Poaceae
Description: MIR812 microRNA precursor family
Rfam family: MIR812 microRNA precursor family
Source: Rfam by way of RNAcentral